GACGAACGCUGGCGGCGUGCCUAAUACAUGCAAGUAGGACGCACAGUUUAUACCGUAGCUUGCUACACCAUAGACUGUGAGUUGCGAACGGGUGAGUAACGCGUAGGUAACCUGCCUAUUAGAGGGGGAUAACUAUUGGAAACGAUAGCUAAUACCGCAUAACAGUAUGUAACACAUGUUAGAUGCUUGAAAGAUGCAAUUGCAUCGCUAGUAGAUGGACCUGCGUUGUAUUAGCUAGUAGGUAGGGUAAUGGCCUACCUAGGCGACGAUACAUAGCCGACCUGAGAGGGUGAUCGGCCACACUGGGACUGAGACACGGCCCAGACUCCUACGGGAGGCAGCAGUAGGGAAUCUUCGGCAAUGGGGGGAACCCUGACCAAGCAACGCCGCGUGAGUGAAGAAGGUUUUCGGAUCGUAAAGCUCUGUUGUUAAGGAAGAACGAGUGUGGGAAUGGAAAGUUCAUACUGUGACGGUACUUAACCAGAAAGGGACGGCUAACUACGUGCCAGCAGCCGCGGUAAUACGUAGGUCCCGAGCGUUGUCCGGAUUUAUUGGGCGUAAAGCGAGCGCAGGCGGCUAGAAAAGUCUGAAGUGAAAGGCAGUGGCUCAACCAUUGUAGGCUUUGGAAACUGUUUAACUUGAGUGCAGAAGGGGAGAGUGGAAUUCCAUGUGUAGCGGUGAAAUGCGUAGAUAUAUGGAGGAACACCGGUGGCGAAAGCGGCUCUCUGGUCUGUAACUGACGCUGAGGCUCGAAAGCGUGGGGAGCGAACAGG
RNAcentral lists this ribosomal RNA (773 nucleotides) under Streptococcus anginosus. RNAcentral's name for it is "bacterial SSU rRNA". It matches the Rfam family "Bacterial small subunit ribosomal RNA", at positions 28 to 776 of the family's 1533-position model. Lineage: Bacteria; Bacillati; Bacillota; Bacilli; Lactobacillales; Streptococcaceae. The record is from RNAcentral.